CACACUGGACCAGGAUCCCAGAAACCAUGGCAGAGAUGGGCAGGAGGUGAGCCUUGGUGGAAUAAAGAUGCAAUUUUUAUCAACAAACGUGUGGAGGAAGAGAAGAGUGAGCUGAAGUGAAAGAAGUGAAAGGGUCAUCCAAGUUGUGGCUUUCUUGCUCGGCUUCUCUGAGAAACGUGAAAGAAAUGCCCAGCAGAAGGUUUCUGCAUCAGUUGUUGCCGCCUCAGCAGACACCGUCGAUGUAAAGAUUGAAUUCCCGGAGUAUACAGUCUACUACCAGGGUUUUCCAGUUCCACUGCCACCUGCCCUGUUUUGAGGAGUUUCAACACCACAUACACAUAAGUAAACCAGUUUGACGAAGCUUAAUGGAAGAAAGACAACAAAGCCCAGAUGGGAGCCAGAUGCCUCUUUUCACAGUGAUAACACUGCAACCAAAAUUUCACCACCAUGAUGAAAGUGAGGCUCAUAAAAGAUGCAUCAGUAAUCCAUCAGAUGUCAUUAGUUUGGCAUAAACCUGUAAAGGUCCUGAUGCAUACAUUUUGAAAGAAUGUUAAUAUUUGAACACCCUCUUUCGAAGAAACAUUGUGUAAAUUCAUGCAGUCCUAAAACAUUGCAUCUUCAUAAUACUGAAUUUACCAAAAACUGUUUCAGGGUUUUUUUCUGAUUCUGUCUGUGUAAAUCUUUGUUCCCCCAAACAUUGUGUUAAAUCUGUAUAUCCCAUGAUUAAAAUGAUGAUCAGGCA
Molecule: long non-coding RNA, 742 nt
Organism: Micropterus salmoides (largemouth bass)
Lineage: Eukaryota; Metazoa; Chordata; Actinopteri; Centrarchiformes; Centrarchidae
Exons: 4
Source: RefSeq, a predicted model, not a curated record